This is a non-coding RNA of Plutella xylostella (diamondback moth), 396 nucleotides long. Lineage: Eukaryota; Metazoa; Arthropoda; Insecta; Lepidoptera; Plutellidae. The record is from RefSeq and is a predicted model, not a curated record.
AGCGUUUAAAUUUACCAAUGCUAUUCUUUACUAAUAUCAAGCUACUUAUUUCAUCAUAGGUCCGGCCGGAUUACUAGAUGUAGCUAGGAGUUGUUCUUUAGUUCAUUUAGUUUCUAUAUUGUCUGUGAUUCGCAUUGACUGGCCGGUCACUGGAUUCAUGCGGAUUCAUUCAAUUCAAGAUGGCAGAAAAAACAAGAAUAACUUUUAAAAGACUUCUGUUUGUUAUUAGAUUCCUUUUUGAAUAGUUUGUGUUCCUUAUAAAAGUAUUUUACUUCAAACUUCCUGAGUGUCUUAUUUUCAGCAUCUUCUAUAGUACCAAGCUAACAUUUCAGAAUUGAGAUGAGUAAGUCUACGCCCACCGUCAUAUAAUAUUACGCAAAAACACAUAAUCAAAAC